CCUACGGGAGGCAGCAGUGGGGAAUAUUGCUCAAUGGAGGAAAGUCUGAAGCAGCAACGCCGCGUGAAGGAUGAAUGACCUCUGGGUUUUAAACUCCUUUUAUAGAGGAGUAAAUCGAGGUACGUGUGCAUUAUUGCCCGUCUUUUAUGAUUCCGGCAGGGGUAACUCCGUGCCAGCAGCCGCGGUAAUACGGAGGAACCGAGCGUUAUCCGGGUUUACUGGGGUGAAAGGGAGCGUAGACGGGAUAUUAAGUCAGUUGUGAAAUCUUUCGGCUUAACCGUAAAAUUGCAUUUGAAACUGUGAGUCUUGAGUACAGGAGAGGUAGGCGGAAUUCGUGGUGUAGCGGUGAAAUCCUUAGAUAUCACGAAGAACCCCGAUUGCGAAGGCAGCUUACUAAACCGUAACUGACACUGAUGCUCGAAAGUGUGGGGAGCAAACAGGAUUAGAUACCCGAGUAGUC
This 460-nucleotide ribosomal RNA is filed under the name uncultured bacterium. RNAcentral describes it as "partial 16S ribosomal RNA". It matches the Rfam family "Bacterial small subunit ribosomal RNA", at positions 338 to 795 of the family's 1533-position model. The record is from RNAcentral.